This 503-nucleotide ribosomal RNA is filed under the name uncultured bacterium. RNAcentral describes it as "partial 16S ribosomal RNA". It matches the Rfam family "Bacterial small subunit ribosomal RNA", at positions 30 to 523 of the family's 1533-position model. The record is from RNAcentral.
AUUGAACGCUGGCGGCAGGCUUAACACAUGCAAGUCGAGCGGGGUGAUGGUGCUUGCACUAUCACUUAGCGGCGGACGGGUGAGUAAUGCUUAGGAAUCUGCCUAUUAGUGGGGGACAACAUCUCGAAAGGGAUGCUAAUACCGCAUACGUCCUACGGGAGAAAGCAGGGGAUCACUUGUGACCUUGCGCUAAUAGAUGAGCCUAAGUCGGAUUAGCUAGUUGGUGGGGUAAAGGCCUACCAAGGCGACGAUCUGUAGCGGGUCUGAGAGGAUGAUCCGCCACACUGGGACUGAGACACGGCCCAGACUCCUACGGGAGGCAGCAGUGGGGAAUAUUGGACAAUGGGGGGAACCCUGAUCCAGCCAUGCCGCGUGUGUGAUGAAGGCCUUAUGGUUGUAAAGCACUUUAAGUGAGGAGGAGGCUCUUUUGGUUAAUACCCAAGAUGAGUGGACGUUACUCGCAGAAUAAGCACCGGCUAACUCUGUGCCAGCCGCCGCCGUAA